UCCGGGAUGGUGGGGACACUGUUGGGACCGCCUCUGCUAAAGAGGAGGAAGGGAAUGGGCAACGGUAGGUCAGCAUGCCCCGAAUUAUCUGGGCUACACGCGGGCUACAAUGGGUGGGACAAUGGGUAUCGACACCGAAAGGUGAAGGCAAUCUCCUAAACCCAUCCGUAGUUCGGAUUGUGGGCUGCAACUCGCCCACAUGAAGCUGGAAUCUGUAGUAAUCGUGUCUCAAAAUGGCACGGUGAAUAUCGUCCCUGCUCCUU
Molecule: ribosomal RNA, 263 nt
Filed under: uncultured Methanomicrobiales archaeon
Lineage: Archaea; Methanobacteriati; Methanobacteriota; Methanomicrobia; Methanomicrobiales
Description: partial 16S ribosomal RNA
Rfam family: Archaeal small subunit ribosomal RNA
Source: RNAcentral